Molecule: ribosomal RNA, 1204 nt
Filed under: Pectobacterium brasiliense
Lineage: Bacteria; Pseudomonadati; Pseudomonadota; Gammaproteobacteria; Enterobacterales; Pectobacteriaceae
Description: bacterial SSU rRNA
Rfam family: Bacterial small subunit ribosomal RNA
Source: RNAcentral
UGCAGUCGAGCGGUAGCACAGAAGAGCUUGCUCUUUGGGUGACGAGCGGCGGACGGGUGAGUAAUGUCUGGGAAACUGCCUGAUGGAGGGGGAUAACUACUGGAAACGGUAGCUAAUACCGCAUAACCUCGCAAGAGCAAAGAGGGGGACCUUCGGGCCUCUCGCCAUCAGAUGUGCCCAGAUGGGAUUAGCUAGUAGGUGAGGUAAUGGCUCACCUAGGCGACGAUCCCUAGCUGGUCUGAGAGGAUGACCAGCCACACUGGAACUGAGACACGGUCCAGACUCCUACGGGAGGCAGCAGUGGGGAAUAUUGCACAAUGGGCGCAAGCCUGAUGCAGCCAUGCCGCGUGUGUGAAGAAGGCCUUCGGGUUGUAAAGCACUUUCAGCGGGGAGGAAGGCGGUAAGGUUAAUAACCUUAUCGAUUGACGUUACCCGCAGAAGAAGCACCGGCUAACUCCGUGCCAGCAGCCGCGGUAAUACGGAGGGUGCAAGCGUUAAUCGGAAUGACUGGGCGUAAAGCGCACGCAGGCGGUCUGUUAAGUUGGAUGUGAAAUCCCCGGGCUUAACCUGGGAACUGCAUUCAAAACUGACAGGCUAGAGUCUUGUAGAGGGGGGUAGAAUUCCAGGUGUAGCGGUGAAAUGCGUAGAGAUCUGGAGGAAUACCGGUGGCGAAGGCGGCCCCCUGGACAAAGACUGACGCUCAGGUGCGAAAGCGUGGGGAGCAAACAGGAUUAGAUACCCUGGUAGUCCACGCUGUAAACGAUGUCGAUUUGGAGGUUGUGCCCUUGAGGCGUGGCUUCCGGAGCUAACGCGUUAAAUCGACCGCCUGGGGAGUACGGCCGCAAGGUUAAAACUCAAAUGAAUUGACGGGGGCCCGCACAAGCGGUGGAGCAUGUGGUUUAAUUCGAUGCAACGCGAAGAACCUUACCUACUCUUGACAUCCAGAGAACUUAGCAGAGAUGCUUUGGUGCCUUCGGGAACUCUGAGACAGGUGCUGCAUGGCUGUCGUCAGCUCGUGUUGUGAAAUGUUGGGUUAAGUCCCGCAACGAGCGCAACCCUUAUCCUUUGUUGCCAGCGAUUCGGUCGGGAACUCAAAGGAGACUGCCGGUGAUAAACCGGAGGAAGGUGGGGAUGACGUCAGUCAUCAUGGCCCUUACGAGUAGGGCUACACACGUGCUACAAUGGCGUAUACAAAGAGAAGCGA